AAACGUACGCUGGCGGCACGCCUAACACAUGCAAGUCGAACGAAGUAGCAAUACUUAGUGGCAGACGGGUGAGUAACAUGUAGGUAUCUGCCCUUUGGCCUGGAAUAACACGAGGAAACUUGUGCUAAUACCGGAUAAGUCUUUACGGAGAAAGCUUUAUGCACCAUUGGAUGAGCCUGCACUUGAUUAGUUUGUUGGUGGGGUAAUGGCCUACCAAGACUGUGAUCAAUAGCUGAUUUGAGAGGAUGAUCAGCCACAUUGGGACUGAGACACGGCCCAAACUCCUACGGGAGGCAGCAGUGGGGAAUCUUGCACAAUGGAGGAAACUCUGAUGCAGCGAUGCCGCGUGAGUGAAGAAGGCCUUUGGGUUGUAAAGCUCUUUCGUCGGGGAAGAAAAUGACUGUACCCGAAUAAGAAGGUCCGGCUAACUUCGUGCCAGCAGCCGCGGUAAUACGAAGGGACCUAGCGUAGUUCGGAAUUACUGGGCUUAAAGAGUUCGUAGGUGGUUGAAAAAGUUAGUGGUGAAAUCCCAGAGCUUAACUCUGGAACUGCCAUUAAAACUUUUCAGCUAGAGUAUGAUAGAGGAAAGCAGAAUUUCUAGUGUAGAGGUGAAAUUCGUAGAUAUUAGAAAGAAUACCAAUUGCGAAGGCAGCUUUCUGGAUCAUACUGA
This 670-nucleotide ribosomal RNA is filed under the name alpha proteobacterium IMCC14349. RNAcentral describes it as "bacterial SSU rRNA". It matches the Rfam family "Bacterial small subunit ribosomal RNA", at positions 26 to 743 of the family's 1533-position model. Lineage: Bacteria; Pseudomonadati; Pseudomonadota; Alphaproteobacteria. The record is from RNAcentral.